Molecule: long non-coding RNA, 566 nt
Organism: Copidosoma floridanum
Lineage: Eukaryota; Metazoa; Arthropoda; Insecta; Hymenoptera; Encyrtidae
Source: RefSeq, a predicted model, not a curated record
UUUUUUGUACGACUUUGUAAAGAUUUUUCGAGCUCGUUAUCACGUAUCACCUGUGUGAUAUUACCUACUUGCCUUAAACGUGCAAAACAAUUACGUGCGGUACACAUGCCUCGUUUUCGGUAUUACUUCAGUAAAAGAUACAUACAUUAAGAUGUAAAAUAGACCAUACUAAUUAUGUCGACCGCUGUAUUGUUAGCCUACAAAAACAGCACAGGAUUCUUAGCAAAUUUUGUCACUUAGUUCUCCUAAAAAGAAAUGGAAGAUAAUCAGAGGCCUCCUUCAACAACAAUGCACAAAUAUGUCAAAGUUUCUCAAGUUCACUUGGAACAAAAAACUAAUCCUUAUGUUCAAAUAAAUGACGGGUACAAGUAAUGCGUAUUCAAAAGCACGGCUUCACCUAAUAGGAAUAUUACUUGCUCACAAUAUGGUUCUACCAACCGAUGAUAUAGCUUUACAUCCUAUAGCUCGGAAAAACUCGGAUCUUGAAGAAUUAAAUCUCCAACUGGCCUUGCGAUUCUUCAUUACAUCAUAUUGAAAUCCAGAAGCAAGAGAAAAGUUCUUGUACA